RNAcentral lists this ribosomal RNA (440 nucleotides) under uncultured bacterium. RNAcentral's name for it is "partial 16S ribosomal RNA". It matches the Rfam family "Bacterial small subunit ribosomal RNA", at positions 338 to 795 of the family's 1533-position model. The record is from RNAcentral.
CCUACGGGAGGCAGCAGUAGGGAAUAUUGCUCAAUGGGGGAAACCCUGAAGCAGCAACGCCGCGUGGAGGAUGAAGGUUUUCGGAUUGUAAACUCCUUUUGUUAGAGAAGAUAAUGACGGUAUCUAACGAAUAAGCACCGGCUAACUCCGGGCCAGCAGCCGCGGGAAUACGGAGGGUGCAAGCGUUACUCGGAAUCACUGGGCGUAAAGAGCGCGUAGGCGGGAUAGCAAGUCAGAUGUGAAAUCCUAUGGCUUAACCAUAGAACUGCAUUUGAAACUGUUAGUCUAGAGUAUGGGAGAGGUAGGUGGAAUUCUUGGUGUAGGGGUAAAAUCCGUAGAGAUCGAGAGGAAUACUCAUUGCGAAGGCGGCCUGCUAGAACAUAACUGACGCUGAUGCGCGAAAGCGUGGGGAGCAAACAGGAUUAGAUACCCGAGUAGUC